RNAcentral lists this small RNA (110 nucleotides) under Aminobacter aganoensis. RNAcentral describes it as "sRNA Atu_At1". It matches the Rfam family "Rhizobiales sRNA Atu_At1". The record is from RNAcentral. Lineage: Bacteria; Pseudomonadati; Pseudomonadota; Alphaproteobacteria; Hyphomicrobiales; Phyllobacteriaceae.
CUGCGGACUGCGUCAACCGGGCAUGGCGGCGCCGAUGAACAGGAAGUCUUUUUCCCGGUUUCUCUUCCUGGCCAACGAAUAGGCAGACGAGCAUCUCACCCGCCCGGUCC